RNAcentral lists this ribosomal RNA (238 nucleotides) under Escherichia coli. RNAcentral describes it as "partial 23S ribosomal RNA". It matches the Rfam family "Bacterial large subunit ribosomal RNA", at positions 2081 to 2318 of the family's 2925-position model. The record is from RNAcentral. Lineage: Bacteria; Pseudomonadati; Pseudomonadota; Gammaproteobacteria; Enterobacterales; Enterobacteriaceae.
CGGAAAGACCCCGUGAACCUUUACUAUAGCUUGACACUGAACAUUGAGCCUUGAUGUGUAGGAUAGGUGGGAGGCUUUGAAGUGUGGACGCCAGUCUGCAUGGAGCCGGCCUUGAAAUACCACCCUUUAAUGUUUGAUGUUCUAACGUUGGCCCCUGAUCGGGGUUGCGGACAGUGUCUGGUGGGUAGUUUGACUGGGGCGGUCUCCUCCUAAAGAGUAACGGAGGAGCACGAAGGUU